UUGCUCUUCAACGAGGAAUGCCUAGUAAGCGCGAGUCAUCAGCUCGCGUUGACUACGUCCCUGCCCUUUGUACACACCGCCCGUCGCUCCUACCGAUUGAAUGGUCCGGUGAAGUGUUCGGAUCGCGGCGACGGGGGCGGUUCGCCGCCCCCGACGUCGCGAGAAGUCCAUUGAACCUUAUCAUUUAGAGGAAGGAGAAGUCGUAACAAGGUUUCCGUAGGUGAACCUGCGGAAGGAUCAUUGUCGUGACCCUGACCAAAACAGACUGCGCACGCGUCAUCCAAUCCGUCGGCGACGGCACCGUCCGUCGCUCGGCCAAUGCCUCGACCACCUCCCCUCCUCGGAGCGGGUGGGGGCUCGGGGUAAAACAACCCACGGCGCCGAAGGCGUCAAGGAACACUGUGCCUAACCCGGGGGCAUGUCUAGCUUGCUAGCCGUCCCUCGUGUUGCAAAUCUAUUUAAUCCACACGACUCUCGGCAACGGAUAUCUCGGCUCUCGCAUCGAUGAAGAACGUAGCGAAAUGCGAUACCUGGUGUGAAUUGCAGAAUCCCGCGAACCAUCGAGUCUUUGAACGCAAGUUGCGCCCGAGGCCACUCGGCCGAGGGCACGCCUGCCUGGGCGUCACGCCAAAACACGCUCCCAACCACUCUCAACGGGAAUCGGGAUGCGGCAUCUGGUCCCUCGUCUCUCAAGGGACGGUGGACCGAAGAUUGGGCUGCCGGCGUACCGCGCCGGACACAGCGCAUGGUGGGCGUCCUCGCUUUAUCAAUGCAGUGCAUCCGGCGCGCAGCUGGCAUUAUGACCUUUGAACGACCCAACAAACGAAGCGCACGUCGCUUCGACCGCGACCCCAGGUCAGGCGGGACUACCCGCUGAGUUUAAGCAUAUCAAUAAGCGGAGGA
This 903-nucleotide ribosomal RNA is filed under the name uncultured eukaryote. RNAcentral's name for it is "eukaryotic LSU rRNA". The stretch from base 1 to 243 matches the Rfam family "Eukaryotic small subunit ribosomal RNA", at positions 1593 to 1831 of the family's 1831-position model. The record is from RNAcentral.